CCCUUAGAUGUUCUGGGCCGCACGCGCGCUACACUGAUGCACUCAACGAGUCUCCACCUUGACCGAGAGGUCCGGGAAACCUUCGAACUUGCAUCGUGAUGGGGAUAGAUUAUUGCAACUAUUAAUCUUCAACGAGGAAUACCUAGUAGGCGCAUGUCAUCAGCGUGCGUCGAUUACGUCCCUGCCCUUUGUACACACCGCCCGUCGCACCUACCGAUUGAAUGGUCCGGUGAAAUCUCGGGACGGCGGCUUGGUCGCUUGCGUCCGACUGCUGAAACUUGAUUAAACCAUAUCAUUUAGAGGAAGGUGAAGUCGUAACA
This 320-nucleotide ribosomal RNA is filed under the name uncultured eukaryote. RNAcentral describes it as "partial 18S ribosomal RNA". It matches the Rfam family "Eukaryotic small subunit ribosomal RNA", at positions 1470 to 1796 of the family's 1831-position model. The record is from RNAcentral.